CUUAACACAUGCAAGUCGAGGGGAAACGACAUCGAAAGCUUGCUUUUGAUGGGCGUCGACCGGCGCACGGGUGAGUAACGCGUAUCCAACCUGCCCACCACUUGGGGAUAACCUUGCGAAAGUAAGACUAAUACCCAAUGAUAUCUCUAGAAGGCAUCAGAAAGAGAUUAAAGAUUUAUCGGUGAUGGAUGGGGAUGCGUCUGAUUAGCUUGUUGGCGGGGUAACGGCCCACCAAGGCUACGAUCAGUAGGGGUUCUGAGAGGAAGGUCCCCCACAUUGGAACUGAGACACGGUCCAAACUCCUACGGGAGGCAGCAGUGAGGAAUAUUGGUCAAUGGACGAGAGUCUGAACCAGCCAAGUAGCGUGCAGGAUGACGGCCCUAUGGGUUGUAAACUGCUUUUAUAAGGGAAUAAAGUGAGCCUCGUGAGGCUUUUUGCAUGUACCUUAUGAAUAAGGACCGGCUAAUUCCGUGCCAGCAGCCGCGGUAAUACGGAAGGUCCGGGCGUUAUCCGGAUCUAUUGGGUUUAAAGGGAGCGUAGGCCGGAGAUUAAGCGUGUUGUGAAAUGUAGACGCUCAACGUCUGCACUGCAGCGCGAACUGGUUUCCUUGAGUACGCACAAAGUGGGCGGAAUUCGUGGUGUAGCGGUGAAAUGCUUAGAUAUCACGAAGAACUCCGAUUGCGAAGGCAGCUCACUGGAGCGCAACUGACGCUGAAGCUCGAAAGUGCGGGUAUCGAACAGGAUUAGAUACCCUGGUAGUCCGCACGGUAAACGAUGGAUGCCCGCUGUUGGUCUGAAUAGGUCAGCGGCC
This 811-nucleotide ribosomal RNA is filed under the name uncultured bacterium. Its description in RNAcentral is "bacterial SSU rRNA". It matches the Rfam family "Bacterial small subunit ribosomal RNA", at positions 47 to 848 of the family's 1533-position model. The record is from RNAcentral.